This 794-nucleotide ribosomal RNA is filed under the name Apis mellifera (honey bee). RNAcentral's name for it is "SSU rRNA". Lineage: Eukaryota; Metazoa; Arthropoda; Insecta; Hymenoptera; Apidae. The record is from RNAcentral.
CCGGCACGGGGAGGUAGUGACGAAAAAUAACGAUACGGGACUCAUCCGAGGCCCCGUAAUCGGAAUGAGUACACUUUAAAUCCUUUAACGAGGACCAAUUGGAGGGCAAGUCUGGUGCCAGCAGCCGCGGUAAUUCCAGCUCCAAUAGCGUAUAUUAAAGUUGUUGCGGUUAAAAAGCUCGUAGUUGAAUCUGUGUGUCACAGUGUCGGUUCACCGCUCGCGGUGUUUAACUGGCAUUAUGUGGUACGUCCUAUCGGUGGGCUUAGCUCCUUGCGGGCGGUCCAACUAAUAUCCCAUCGCGGUGCUCUUCACUGAGUGUCGAGGUGGGCCGAUACGUUUACUUUGAAAAAAUUAGAGUGCUUAAAGCAGGCUACCUUUGCCUGAAUACUGUGUGCAUGGAAUAAUGGAAUAGGACCUCGGUUCUAUUUUGUUGGUUUUCGGAACCCCGAGGUAAUGAUUAAUAGGGACAGAUGGGGGCAUUCGUAUUGCGACGUUAGAGGUGAAAUUCUUGGAUCGUCGCAAGACGGACAGAAGCGAAAGCAUUUGCCAAAAAUGUUUUCAUUAAUCAAGAACGAAAGUUAGAGGUUCGAAGGCGAUCAGAUACCGCCCUAGUUCUAACCAUAAACGAUGCCAGCCAGCGAUCCGCCGAAGUUCCUCCGAUGACUCGGCGGGCAGCUUCCGGGAAACCAAAGCUUUUGGGUUCCGGGGGAAGUAUGGUUGCAAAGCUGAAACUUAAAGGAAUUGACGGAAGGGCACCACCAGGAGUGGGGCCUGCGGCUWAAUUDGACUCAACA